Polistes dominula (European paper wasp) is the source of this 1312-nucleotide long non-coding RNA. The record is from RefSeq and is a predicted model, not a curated record. NCBI's taxonomy places the organism in Eukaryota, Metazoa, Arthropoda, Insecta, Hymenoptera, Vespidae.
AGAGAGAGAGAGAGAGAGAGAGAGGGAGAGAGAGGAUCAGACUUCGGAUCGACGAGGAUAUAUUGAAUCCUUGUCAUAUAUAUGGCAAGAAGCAGAAGAACAAGGCUUCUUAUUAACUAUGUUUGAUGUAGAGAAGACAUACGAGACGAAAAGUUGUUUCGCAUGACCACAAAUAAUUCAAAUGAAGAAAAUAUAUUUCGGAGGGGGAUAUAAACAUUAACACCAGUUCAACUCACGAUGUAACGUGAUUCCUUCAAAUGAAGAGAAUUUCCAGGCCAUCUUAAUUUUCAAUUGCAAUUGCCUAAAAACAAAAUACAUCAAAACAUUUGAUAUACUACUCUCAGAUUCUAAAAAAAGUACAUAUGUGGAAGAAACAUUAUCUAUAUACGAUUCAAAUGGGACACCCACCUGUGGAUGGCUUAUUUCUGCUGCGUACUACAAUGCAAUUUAGUUUGGAUCAAUAUAAAAAUAAUCCAGUGUACAUAGAUGAUGCCAUAAUCAUCAUAUGGCUAUGACAAAUAAUAGCAAUCAAGACGUAAAUCAUGGGGGAUUGAUUUGUGACACAUGUUGUUUAUUGUUUAUAACCAGCGCGAGCAUGUAUAAAGACAAUAACGAUCAUUUAUCUGUAAUUACACCAUUGCGUAGACAACACAGAAGGGUUGGUUCACAAUAUGUGCAAUUAUACUUUCAAUUCUUUUGUAAAAAUAGUUGUAUCACAUCCGGCAGAAUGAAUCAUCGUAGACCAACAGAACUUGUUUUCACAUGAUGAUGGAAGAUGUGCUCUUUAAUAAAUGGAGUACUUGGACGUCGUAAAUUAUUAGUUAGAGUUUGUAGUUGUCCAAAGAAAGAUAAACAAAAAGUGUGAGUAAUGGUUAAAAAAACCCUCAUGACUGUAUGGGAUAUUUGAUUAUGGAUGGAAUCAUGGGAUUGCGUGCAGAGUUGAAGUGAUGGUUUGAAAAACCCUCAUGACUGUAUGGGAUAUUUGGUUAUGGAUGGAAUCAUAAGAUUGCGUGGAAAAUUUGAGUGAUGGUUAAAAAAACCCUCAUGAUCGUGUGGAGUAUUUAAAUUGCUUUUGCGGCUAAUUCCAGCUUGUCUUUCGAUUUCGCGAGAGCUAACGGAUGGAUUUAUCGUAACUGCGGCUAACACUUCCCAAAUCGUUGGAUAGAACGGGGUGGGCCCAUUCAUUUUCCAGUUAGAUCACCAGAUCUAACGCCCCUCGACUUAUUCUUAUGGGGCUACUUAAAAAAUAAAGUUUACGCUGAGCCUCCGACUACAAUAGCCGAUAUGAGGGAUCGUAUCAUCAAUGAAUGCA